CCUACGGGAGGCAGCAGUGGGGGAUAUUGCACAAUGGGGGAAACCCUGAUGCAGCGACGCCGCGUGGGUGAAGAAGCGCCUCGGCGCGUAAAGCCCUGUCAGCAGGGAAGAAAAUGACGGUACCUGAAGAAGAAGCCCCGGCUAACUACGUGCCAGCAGCCGCGGUAAUACGUAGGGGGCAAGCGUUAUCCGGAUUUACUGGGUGUAAAGGGGGCGCAGACGGCGAUGCAAGCCAGGAGUGAAAGCCCGGGGCCCAACCCCGGGACUGCUCUUGGAACUGCGUGGCUAGAGUGCAGGAGGGGCAGGCGGAAUUCCUGGUGUAGCGGUGAAAUGCGUAGAGAGCAGGAGGAACACCGGUGGCGAAGGCGGCCUGCUGGACUGCAACUGACGUUGAGGCCCGAAAGCGUGGGGAGCAAACAGGAUUAGAUACCCCAGUAGUC
RNAcentral lists this ribosomal RNA (440 nucleotides) under uncultured bacterium. RNAcentral's name for it is "partial 16S ribosomal RNA". It matches the Rfam family "Bacterial small subunit ribosomal RNA", at positions 338 to 795 of the family's 1533-position model. The record is from RNAcentral.